GUCCACGCCGUAAACGAUGGAUGCUAGCCGUCGGCAAGCUUGCUUGUCGGUGGCGCAGCUAACGCAUUAAGCAUCCCGCCUGGGGAGUACGGCCGCAAGGUUAAAACUCAAAGGAAUUGACGGGGGCCCCGCACAAGCGGUGGAGCAUGUGGUUUAAUUCGACGCAACGCGAAGAACCUUACCAGCUCUUGACAUGUCCGGACGGUUUCCAGAGAUGGACUCCUCCUAGCAAUAGGCCGGAACACAGGUGCUGCAUGGCUGUCGU
RNAcentral lists this ribosomal RNA (265 nucleotides) under uncultured bacterium. RNAcentral's name for it is "partial 16S ribosomal RNA". It matches the Rfam family "Bacterial small subunit ribosomal RNA", at positions 793 to 1055 of the family's 1533-position model. The record is from RNAcentral.